RNAcentral lists this ribosomal RNA (449 nucleotides) under uncultured bacterium. RNAcentral describes it as "bacterial SSU rRNA". It matches the Rfam family "Bacterial small subunit ribosomal RNA", at positions 328 to 791 of the family's 1533-position model. The record is from RNAcentral.
CAACCAGACUCCUACGGGAGGCAGCAGUGGGGAAUAUUGGACAAUGGGGGGAACCCUGAUCCAGCGACGCCGCGUGAGUGAAGAAGUCUUUCGGUAUGUAAAGCUCUAUCAGCAGGGAAGAAAGAAAUGACGGUACCUGACUAAGAAGCCCCGGCUAACUACGUGCCAGCAGCCGCGGUAAUACGUAGGGGGCAAGCGUUAUCCGGAUUUACUGGGUGUAAAGGGAGCGUAGACGGCAAUGCAAGUCUGGAGUGAAAGGCGGGGGCCCAACCCCCGGACUGCUCUGGAAACUGUAUAGCUGGAGUGCAGGAGAGGUAAGUGGAAUUCAUAGUGUAGCGGUGAAAUGCGUAGAUAUUAGGAGGAACACCAGUGGCGAAGGCGUCUUACUGGACCGAAACUGACGUUGAGGCUCGAAAGCGUGGGGAGCAAACAGGAUUAGAUACCCAGUA